This 220-nucleotide ribosomal RNA is filed under the name uncultured bacterium. RNAcentral describes it as "partial 16S ribosomal RNA". It matches the Rfam family "Bacterial small subunit ribosomal RNA", at positions 111 to 334 of the family's 1533-position model. The record is from RNAcentral.
UAAUGUCUGGGAAACUGCCUGAUGAGGGGGAGUAACUAACUGGAAACGGUAGCUAAUACCGCAUAAUGUCGCAAGACCAAAUGGGGGACCUUCGGGCCUCAUGCCAUCAGAUGUGCCCAGAUGGGAUUAGCUAGUAGGUGGGGUAACGGCUCACCUAGGCGACGAUCCCUAGCUGGUCUGAGAGGAUGACCAGCCACACUGGAACUGAGACACGGUCCAG